AGAGUUUGAUCAUGGCUCAGGAUGAACGUCUGGCGGUAUGCCUAAUACAUGCAAGUCGUGCGGAAAGGCCUCUUCGGAGGUACUCGAGCGGCGGACGGCAGAGUAACGCGUAGGAACAUACCCCAAACUGAGGGAUAACUGCUCGAAAGAGUAGCUAAUACCGCAUGUGGUCUUCGGACUAAAGCUUCGGCGGUUUGGGAAUGGCCUGCGUUCGAUUAGCUAGUUGGUGAGGUAAUUGCUCACCAAGGCGACGAUCGAUAGCUGGUCUGAGAGGAUGAUCAGCCUGACUGGAACUGAGACACGGUCCAGACUCCUACGGGAGGCAGCAGUAGGGAAUUUUCCACAAUGGGCGAAAGCCUGAUGGAGCAAUACCGCGUGCAGGAUGAAGGCCUUCGGGUCGUAAACUGCUUUUAUGUGAGAAGAAUUUGACGGUAACACAUGAAUAAGGGUCGGCUAACUACGUG
This 464-nucleotide ribosomal RNA is filed under the name uncultured bacterium. Its description in RNAcentral is "bacterial SSU rRNA". It matches the Rfam family "Bacterial small subunit ribosomal RNA", at positions 8 to 507 of the family's 1533-position model. The record is from RNAcentral.